UCCAUUUCUCUACGCUAUGUU
Molecule: non-coding RNA, 21 nt
Filed under: Arabidopsis thaliana (thale cress)
Lineage: Eukaryota; Viridiplantae; Streptophyta; Magnoliopsida; Brassicales; Brassicaceae
Source: RNAcentral